Molecule: ribosomal RNA, 301 nt
Filed under: uncultured bacterium
Lineage: Bacteria
Description: partial 16S ribosomal RNA
Rfam family: Bacterial small subunit ribosomal RNA
Source: RNAcentral
CAGUCGCCGCGGUAAUACGAAGGGGGCUAGCGUUGUUCGGAUUUACUGGGCGUAAAGGGCGCGUAGGCGGACUGAUAAGUCAGGGGUGAAAUCCCAAGGCUCAACCUUGGAACUGCCUUUGAUACUGGCGAUCUUGAGUAUGGGAGAGGUGUGUGGAACUCCGAGUGUAGAGGUGAAAUUCGUAGAUAUUCGGAAGAACACCAGUGGCGAAGGCGACACACUGGCCCAUUACUGACGCUGAGGCUCGAAAGCGUGGGGAGCAAACAGGAUUAGAUACCCCAGUAGUCCCUGUCUCUUAUAC